UACGGAGGGAGCUAGCGUUGUUCGGAAUUACUGGGCGUAAAGCGCACGUAGGCGGCUUUGUAAGUUAGAGGUGAAAGCCCGGAGCUCAACUCCGGAACUGCCUUUAAGACUGCAUCGCUUGAAUCCAGGAGAGGUGAGUGGAAUUCCGAGUGUAGAGGUGAAAUUCGUAGAUAUUCGGAAGAACACCAGUGGCGAAGGCGGCUCACUGGACUGGUAUUGACGCUGAGGAGCGAAAGCGUGGGGAGCGAACAGG
This 253-nucleotide ribosomal RNA is filed under the name uncultured bacterium. Its description in RNAcentral is "partial 16S ribosomal RNA". It matches the Rfam family "Bacterial small subunit ribosomal RNA", at positions 524 to 776 of the family's 1533-position model. The record is from RNAcentral.